CUGGAUGUGACUAAGGGGUAGAGUGCUUGCCUAGCAUGCACCAGGCCCUGGGUUCUAUCCCCAGCACCGCGA
RNAcentral lists this transfer RNA (72 nucleotides) under Marmota monax (woodchuck). RNAcentral's name for it is "tRNA.Ala". Lineage: Eukaryota; Metazoa; Chordata; Mammalia; Rodentia; Sciuridae. The record is from RNAcentral.